CGCGUAGGCGGGUUUUCAAGUCGGUUGUGAAAUCCCUCAGCUCAACUGAGGAACUGCAUCCGAUACUGUUUGUCUUGAGGACGAGAGGGGAGAGUGGAACUUCUGGUGGAGCGGUGAAAUGCGUAGAUAUCAGAAGGAACGCCGGUGGCGAAAGCGACUCUCUGGCUCGUAUCUGACGCUGAGGCGCGAAAGCUGGUAGCAAACG
Molecule: ribosomal RNA, 205 nt
Filed under: uncultured bacterium
Lineage: Bacteria
Description: partial 16S ribosomal RNA
Rfam family: Bacterial small subunit ribosomal RNA
Source: RNAcentral